Molecule: non-coding RNA, 23 nt
Filed under: Arabidopsis thaliana (thale cress)
Lineage: Eukaryota; Viridiplantae; Streptophyta; Magnoliopsida; Brassicales; Brassicaceae
Source: RNAcentral
AACUUUUUGUGCCAAAUUGUCCG